Long non-coding RNA from Cyprinus carpio (common carp), 1701 nucleotides. Lineage: Eukaryota; Metazoa; Chordata; Actinopteri; Cypriniformes; Cyprinidae. The record is from Ensembl.
AUGUGUGAGGAUAUUGUUAUAAAAUGUACAAUAUGCAUAUACACAAAAUGUAAACAUAAUAUCUGGUAUAUAUUUACAAUCCUACAUUAUAGUUGUUGUUUUUUGUACCACCAUGUCUUAAUUGAGAAGAUGGAAAGGUUUGCAAUGACACAUGCAAAGAGAGAAAGAAUAAGCAAACUACAUGAUAAAGUCUUUAGACGCCAGAGUUGGAGCGAGCUACGGGCCGGUCUUGUGCUUGAUCGCUGGCUUGUAACCUUCCCAACCCCCAUUCCAAUUCAGGACUUUGAGAACAGGCUCUUUUGCUCAAUGGGGGCAGAUUUCAGGCCUCACAUGGACGUGGGGGUCACAUUCGGCUUAAGGCUGCCUCUUGGUCAACACCCCGUUCCCUGUGUCUCCGGACAAAGGAUGCAAUUCCAUUUCGGAGGGAGGGAAGGAGGGAGGAUAUGAUGAAGCUCAGAGACCUGGAGAAAAGAGAAGAGAAAAAAUUAGUUCUGAGAACUGAUACAGAACGGGGAAAAAAAUACAUGUGGAAUUGUAAAUAAUUUCAACCAUUUUGCAUCUAAGAGAAAGAAAAAAAAGAAGGAGGAAGAAGAAGGAAGUUCAUUCUUUAAGAAUGAAGAAUGGCGGACAAGCAGGAAGAGGAACCAUCCUGUUUCUUUGCUUUUUUUCUCUCUAUUUGUCUUUUCUCUCUCACUGUACCUUCUUCCUUAUCUCUCUCUCUCUCUCUUUCCCUUUCUGUGUCUCUUCCUCUCUUAAAAUGGCAGCAGACUCCUCCCAUUUUAGGGGGCCAGGCGAAUUUUUUUGUUUGUCUUGAAACAGCAAGGCCAGGAAUUGUCACUGUUGGUGACCCAAGGUCAAGCAGACUCGCUUCUCCCAUUUAACUGGGAAAUCCCACACAAGAAAUUCAAUCAACAGUUUUUUUAAUCAUUUACAAAUGGGUAUAUAAACUGUAAACGGUUGCUGAAAAGUUUGGCUAAUGUACUUCAUGUGGUUUUAUUCACUUUUUUUUCUUUUUAAUGGAGAUAUAGAAUAUGUACUUUUGGAAGUGCAACUCCAAAGAUAAAAAUUUGUAUUUACUGAUACUGAAUUGUAUUAAAAACUCAAUGAGCUUUGGUAAAAAUAACAUGUAUUAUUGCAUCAUAUAUUUAUUUUAAGCUGAAAUACAUACUCUAAAAAAAAUGGUAUAGGAUUUACUUUGAAAUAGUUUUAAUUUAGAAAUUGCUAGGUAAUUUGUCAAUGAAACAGCAAGUAACAUUGAAUUAAAUGUGAAAUUUUUAAGAAGAAAGACUGAAAUAGUAAACUCAAAAAAAAAAAAAAAUCUGUAAAUCUAGGGCAUAGUGUAAUGUAGGCUAUUUAAUUUUUAAAGAAUAAUUUUAUGCAUUUAUUUUUAUCGGUCUACCUGUUUUACCUGUAUUUUCAAUUUUGCAUUGCACUGUGUUUUAGAGUAACAGAAAUGUCAGGUAAUUUAACGGAUAAUGAUACCACUAUUUUCAUUCUAUAUAUACAGUAUAUAUAUACACACAAACACACAUAUAUAUAAAUUUUUUACAGUGUAGGAACUAAUUCAUCUUAGCAUUAAGUAAAGCUGCUUUUCAUAAAACUUAAAACUAUAUUCAAGACUGAAAUAAUCAUUUUUAUGCAAGUACUGUUGGCUGGAGAAGCACUGCACUGACAAUAAAAAACAAAAACUGGAUUCUUCCA